CUGUAAGCCUGUGAAGGUGGCCUGUGAGGGUUGCUGGAGGUAUCAGAAGUGCGAAUGCUGACAUAAGUAACGAUAAAGCGGGUGAAAAGCCCGCUCGCCGGAAGACCAAGGGUUCCUGUCCAACGUUAAUCGGGGCAGGGUGAGUCGACCCCUAAGGCGAGGCCGAAAGGCGUAGUCGAUGGGAAACAGGUUAAUAUUCCUGUACUUGGUGUUACUGCGAAGGGGGGACGGAGAAGGCUAUGUUGGCCGGGCGACGGUUGUCCCGGUUUAAGCGUGUAGGCUGGUUUUCCAGGCAAAUCCGGAAAACCAAGGCUGAGGCGUGAUGACGAGGCACUACGGUGCUGAAGCGACAAAUGCCCUGCUUCCAGGAAAAGCCUCUAAGCAUCAGGUAACAUCAAAUCGUACCCCAAACCGACACAGGUGGUCAGGUAGAGAAUACCAAGGCGCUUGAGAGAACUCGGGUGAAGGAACUAGGCAAAAUGGUGCCGUAACUUCGGGAGAAGGCACGCUGAUAUGUAGGUGAAGCGACUUGCUCGUGGAGCUGAAAUCAGUCGAAGAUACCAGCUGGCUGCAACUGUUUAUUAAAAACACAGCACUGUGCAAACACGAAAGUGGACGUAUACGGUGUGACGCCUGCCCGGUGCCGGAAGGUUAAUUGAUGGGGUUAGCGGUAACGCGAAGCUCUUGAUCGAAGCCCCGGUAAACGGCGGCCGUAACUAUAACGGUCCUAAGGUAGCGAAAUUCCUUGUCGGGUAAGUUCCGACCUGCACGAAUGGCGUAAUGAUGGCCAGGCUGUCUCCACCCGAGACUCAGUGAAAUUGAACUCGCUGUGAAGAUGCAGUGUACCCGCGGCAAGACGGAAAGACCCCGUGAACCUUUACUAUAGCUUGACACUGAACAUUGAGCCUUGAUGUGUAGGAUAGGUGGGAGGCUUUGAAGUGUGGACGCCAGUCUGCAUGGAGCCGACCUUGAAAUACCACCCUUUAAUGUUUGAUGUUCUAACGUUGGCCCCUAAUCGGGGUUGCGGACAGUGUCUGGUGGGUAGUUUGACUGGGGCGGUCUCCUCCUAAAGAGUAACGGAGGAGCACGAAGGUUGGCUAAUCCUGGUCGGACAUCAGGAGGUUAGUGCAAUGGCAUAAGCCAGCUUGACUGCGAGCGUGACGGCGCGAGCAGGUGCGAAAGCAGGUCAUAGUGAUCCGGUGGUUCUGAAUGGAAGGGCCAUCGCUCAACGGAUAAAAGGUACUCCGGGGAUAACAGGCUGAUACCGCCCAAGAGUUCAUAUCGACGGCGGUGUUUGGCACCUCGAUGUCGGCUCAUCACAUCCUGGGGCUGAAGUAGGUCCCAAGGGUAUGGCUGUUCGCCAUUUAAAGUGGUACGCGAGCUGGGUUUAGAACGUCGUGAGACAGUUCGGUCCCUAUCUGCCGUGGGCGCUGGAGAACUGAGGGGGGCUGCUCCUAGUACGAGAGGACCGGAGUGGACGCAUCACUGGUGUUCGGGUUGUCAUGCCAAUGGCACUGCCCGGUAGCUAAAUGCGGAAGAGAUAAGUGCUGAAAGCAUCUAAGCACGAAACUUGCCCCGAGAUGAGUUCUCCCUGAGACUUAGAGUCUCCUGAAGGAACGUUGAAGACGACGACGUUGAUAGGCCGGGUGUGUAAGCGCAGCGAUGCGUUGAGCUAACCGGUACUAAUGAACCGUGAGGCUUAACCUU
This 1707-nucleotide ribosomal RNA is filed under the name Escherichia coli. RNAcentral describes it as "partial 23S ribosomal RNA". It matches the Rfam family "Bacterial large subunit ribosomal RNA", at positions 1241 to 2925 of the family's 2925-position model. Lineage: Bacteria; Pseudomonadati; Pseudomonadota; Gammaproteobacteria; Enterobacterales; Enterobacteriaceae. The record is from RNAcentral.